AUCCAGCAGAUGAGUCUCGAAUAGGACGAAACACGUGUCCUGGAU
This 45-nucleotide non-coding RNA is filed under the name Schistosoma curassoni. The record is from RNAcentral. Lineage: Eukaryota; Metazoa; Platyhelminthes; Trematoda; Strigeidida; Schistosomatidae.